UACGUAGGGUGCAGGCGUUAAUAGGAAUUACUGGGCGUAAAGCGUGCGCAGGCGGUCUUUUAAGUCAGAUGUGAAAUCCCCGGGCUUAACCUGGGAACUGCGUUUGAAACUGGAAGGCUUGAGUGUGGCAGAGGGGGGUGGAAUUCCACGUGUAGCAGUGAAAUGCGUAGAGAUGUGGAGGAACACCGAUGGCGAAGGCAGCCCCCUGGGCUAACACUGACGCUCAUGCACGAAAGCGUGGGGAGCAAACAGG
This 253-nucleotide ribosomal RNA is filed under the name uncultured bacterium. RNAcentral's name for it is "partial 16S ribosomal RNA". It matches the Rfam family "Bacterial small subunit ribosomal RNA", at positions 524 to 776 of the family's 1533-position model. The record is from RNAcentral.